CAGUAGCCGCGGUAAAACGAGGGGUGCAAGCGUUAUCCAGAAUGAUUGGGCGUAAAGCGUCUGUAGGUGGCUUUUCAAGUCAGUCGUCAAAUCCCUGGGCUCAACCCUGGACAAGCAGUGGAAACUACCAAGCUGGAGUAUAGUAGGGGCAGAGUGAAUUUCCGGUGGAGCGAUGAAAUGCGUUGAGAUCAGAAAGAACACCAACGGCGAAAGCACUCUGCUGGGCCGACACUGACACUGAGAGACGAAAGCUAGGGGAGCAAAUGGGAUUAGAUACCCCGGUAGUCCCUGUCUCUUAUAC
RNAcentral lists this ribosomal RNA (301 nucleotides) under uncultured bacterium. RNAcentral describes it as "partial 16S ribosomal RNA". It matches the Rfam family "Bacterial small subunit ribosomal RNA", at positions 509 to 807 of the family's 1533-position model. The record is from RNAcentral.